GCGCGGGUGGCGUAAUUGGUAGACGCGUACGUUUGAGGGGCGUAUGGGGUAACCUGUGUGGGUUCAAGUCCCACCCCGCGCA
Molecule: transfer RNA, 82 nt
Filed under: Candidatus Omnitrophota bacterium
Lineage: Bacteria; Pseudomonadati; Candidatus Omnitrophota
Description: tRNA-Leu
Rfam family: tRNA
About the family: Transfer RNA (tRNA) molecules are approximately 80 nucleotides in length.
Source: RNAcentral